RNAcentral lists this long non-coding RNA (281 nucleotides) under Piliocolobus tephrosceles (Ugandan red Colobus). RNAcentral describes it as "lncRNA (ENSPTEG00000007254.1)". Lineage: Eukaryota; Metazoa; Chordata; Mammalia; Primates; Cercopithecidae. The record is from RNAcentral.
UACACUUCCGGCGCGCAGCGGGCGGCCAUGUUGGAGCAGCGGAGGCGGCGCAGAGGCGCGUCUUGGGUCCCCGCGGCGGCGCCGUUUCUCCUGCCUCCCCCGGGGGCACGUGUGAAGGGAAGUCGAGGGCCGGGCAGCAGCCUCUGUUUCCGAAGCUUCUCGAAAGCCCAGAAAACCCCUCCCAAGAGCCCGGCCUAACCUGCGUGGAAGAUCCCCCAGGUCACCCCAAAUAUUUGCGUCGGGGCGCGGGUGCCAAGCGCUGAUUUGUGGAUACCCAGGCA